RNAcentral lists this ribosomal RNA (863 nucleotides) under Leratiomyces laetissimus. Its description in RNAcentral is "LSU rRNA". It matches the Rfam family "Eukaryotic large subunit ribosomal RNA", at positions 69 to 920 of the family's 3401-position model. Lineage: Eukaryota; Fungi; Basidiomycota; Agaricomycetes; Agaricales; Strophariaceae. The record is from RNAcentral.
ACAGGAUUCCCCUAGUAACUGCGAGUGAAGCGGGAAAAGCUCAAAUUUAAAAUCUGGCMSYCUUUGAUUGUCCGAGUUGUAAUCUAGAGAAGUGUUAUCCGCGCUGGACCGUGUACAAGUCUCCUGGAAUGGAGCGUCAUAGAGGGUGAGAAUCCCGUCUUUGACACGGACUGCCAGGGCUUUGUGAUGCGCUCUCAAAGAGUCGAGUUGUUUGGGAAUGCAGCUCAAAAUGGGUGGUAAAUUCCAUCUAAAGCUAAAUAUUGGCGAGAGACCGAUAGCGAACAAGUACCGUGAGGGAAAGAUGAAAAGAACUUUGGAAAGAGAGUUAAACAGUACGUGAAAUUGCUGAAAGGGAAACGCUUGAAGUCAGUCGCGUUGUCUGGGAAUCAACCUUGCUUUUGCUGGGCGUACUUUCCAGAUAAUGGGUCAGCAUCAAUUUUGAUCGUUGGAUAAAGUCGAGAGGAAUGUGGCAUCUUCGGAUGUGUUAUAGCCUUUUGUCGCAUACAACGGUUGGGAUUGAGGAACUCAGCACGCCGCAAGGCCGGGUACUUGUACCACGUUCGUGCUUAGGAUGCUGGCAUAAUGGCUUUAAUCGACCCGUCUUGAAACACGGACCAAGGAGUCUAACAUGCCUGCGAGUAUUUGGGUGGAAAACCCGAGUGCGCAAUGAAAGUGAAAGUUGAGAUCCCUGUCAUGGGGAGCAUCGACGCCCGGACCAGACCUUUUGUGACGGAUCUGCGGUAGAGCAUGUAUGUUGGGACCCGAAAGAUGGUGAACUAUGCCUGAAUAGGGUGAAGCCAGAGGAAACUCUGGUGGAGCUCGUAGCGAUUCUGACGUGCAAUCGAUCGUCAAUUUGGGUAUAG